RNAcentral lists this ribosomal RNA (253 nucleotides) under uncultured bacterium. RNAcentral describes it as "partial 16S ribosomal RNA". It matches the Rfam family "Bacterial small subunit ribosomal RNA", at positions 524 to 776 of the family's 1533-position model. The record is from RNAcentral.
UACGUAGGUGGCAAGCGUUAUCCGGAUUUACUGGGUGUAGAGGGCGCGUAGGCGGGGAAGUAAGUCAGAUGUGAAAACCACGGGCUCAACCUGUGGCCUGCAUUUGAAACUGUUUUUCUUGAGUGCUGGAGAGGCAAUCGGAAUUCCGUGUGUAGCGGUGAAAUGCGUAGAUAUACGGAGGAACACCAGUGGCGAAGGCGGAUUGCUGGACAGUAACUGACGCUGAGGCGCGAAAGCGUGGGGAGCAAACAGG